UUGCCCUGUACCUCGCUCGGCGUGAAGAUUUCAUUCUUGCGUCUUGAGCUGGAUAUCUCUGUUCAAGAUUCCAUCGUGGAUUACGAAUACAGAUAAUGGGCUAUAAGAACGUGGUUUUCUUUUGAGUACGGAUUGGCCAGAUUUUGAUGGUCCGUUCGUAAUUAUAAAACCCAACACAC
This 179-nucleotide small nucleolar RNA is filed under the name Komagataella phaffii GS115. Lineage: Eukaryota; Fungi; Ascomycota; Pichiomycetes; Pichiales; Pichiaceae. The record is from RNAcentral.